Danaus plexippus (monarch butterfly) is the source of this 1027-nucleotide long non-coding RNA. RefSeq lists it as uncharacterized. NCBI's taxonomy places the organism in Eukaryota, Metazoa, Arthropoda, Insecta, Lepidoptera, Nymphalidae. The transcript has 2 exons. The record is from RefSeq and is a predicted model, not a curated record.
ACUAACUCUACCAAGCACCAAGCCUCAUUUGCAAUAUGAAGGAGAGUUAAUUCAAAUCAUGGCGAUGGUUCUGGCAUGGACUUUUCCCUUCCCCAUCCCGACCACCCUCCUGUGAACACGGAGGUCUACUCUGCGUCAAAGGAAUAGUCCUCAAGGAGUAGUAGUCUAAAAUCCGAGGCAGAACGCUCACCACACAACACCGAGGUUUACAAGAGUUUUGCUGGUAAGUCAAGGCUGGUAUCAAUUUUUGCCAAUGCAAAAGGUUGAUGCUGCAUUUCUACAGUUCCCAGUUGGACUGGGCUACCAAAGAAAGCUAUCUCGUGUUUUGUUGGUUAUAACCGCCCCACCGGUGAACCCCUUACAAACUUUUUUUCUCAUAAAUAUAAAGAAAAACAGAAACUGAUAACAAAUAAAAAUCAAACUAGAAUUCACUAAAGAAACAUAUAAAUUGAUAAUAUAUUAUAGGUACAGAGAUAGAUAUAUAUUUUUUAUCUCACAGCUUUUUCAAUUAAAUCGUAUUUCUUUUUAAUUUUCUUUUGUCUUGCAUAUAAGUUUUUAGUUAUUGACUCAUAUUUUUAACUUGACUAAUUUGGGAAAUUGUCCAUUAUGGAGAAAAGCCCAAUAAAUUAUUUCAUAAAAGGUAUAAAAAACCGUUGCAGGUCACGGAUACAUACGGUUAAAUGGCAUUUACUAUCAGUUUAACGCGUUAUUAAAGUCUUAAUUUCCCGCUUCACUUUCUUUUACUGAGUUCUCACAAAAGAUAUCCAACAAGGUUUUAUGUUAAUGGAUGUGCAGCUCCUUACGCAUUGAUGAAUUAAUUUAAAUAAAUAAUAAAUAAAAAUUAAGUAUCUGUUUGCAAUAUUAAAUUAUUUUAGUUAAUGGAUGGAUGGAUACAUUGCCCAUAUAAAUUUUUUUUUACAAUUUGUUUUCUCUUUGUUUGUUACCGUUAUCUCUGAUUUUUCUAGACUGCUAUACAAGAGACUUGAUUCGUAGAUAGCUGACGUAAUAAAGAGUAACUUAUCUUUUA